This is a long non-coding RNA of Betta splendens (Siamese fighting fish), 407 nucleotides long. RefSeq lists it as uncharacterized. The record is from RefSeq and is a predicted model, not a curated record. The transcript is spliced from 3 exons. NCBI's taxonomy places the organism in Eukaryota, Metazoa, Chordata, Actinopteri, Anabantiformes, Osphronemidae.
GACGGGAGGAGAGAAGGCCCGUUCUGUCAGGUCCAGCUGCUUCUGCUUCUCAUAUCGGACUGACAGCUUCCUGGCCUGGAACAGGAUGCAUGGCUUCCCAUUGGUGAACACCUGGAUGGAAGAAAUGUGUAGCACUCACCCUGAGAGGAGGGAAGGGAACCGCAGCUCCUGGCGUCUGAAGUAACUUCCUCCGAGAUGCAUCUGGAGCCUGAAGGUACCAGAGCUCGGCUCGUCCACACCCGUCCGUCCCUCCAGGCUGUCUCCUCGUCUGGAGAGAGCAACAACACUCAUUUAAAGGCAUCUGAAUCAGGUUCUUAGAGGUAUUCAUGGUUAUUCAGGUUGAUAGAAACAUGGUUUCACUACUGCCUUGAUUUGCUUGGGAACUAUUUUCACUGUCAUGUAGCUAC